CCCUUAGAUGUUCUGGGCCGCACGCGCGCUACACUGAUGCAUUCAACGAGUCUAAAACCUGCUCUGAUAGGGGUGGGUAAUCUUUUGAAUGUGCAUCGUGAUUGGGAUAGAUGAUUGCAAUUUUUCAUCUUCAACGAGGAAUGCCUAGUAAACGCAAGUCAUCAGCUUGCAUUGAUUACGUCCCUGCCCUUUGUACACACCGCCCGUCGCUCCUACCGAUUGAAUGAUCCGAUGAAUAUCAUGGAUUGAGGAUGCAAGUAGGUUCGCCUAUCUUCAUCUGCGAGAAGUGAAGUAAAUCUUAUCAUUUAGAGGAAGGAGAAGUCGUAACA
This 329-nucleotide ribosomal RNA is filed under the name uncultured eukaryote. RNAcentral describes it as "partial 18S ribosomal RNA". It matches the Rfam family "Eukaryotic small subunit ribosomal RNA", at positions 1470 to 1796 of the family's 1831-position model. The record is from RNAcentral.